This is a non-coding RNA of Desulfovibrio sp. An276, 384 nucleotides long. It matches the Rfam family "transfer-messenger RNA". From Rfam's summary of the family: Bacterial tmRNA, also known as 10Sa RNA or SsrA, is named for its dual tRNA and mRNA-like properties. Its role is to liberate the mRNA from a stalled ribosome. NCBI's taxonomy places the organism in Bacteria, Pseudomonadati, Thermodesulfobacteriota, Desulfovibrionia, Desulfovibrionales, Desulfovibrionaceae. The record is from Rfam.
GGGGGCGCACUGGUUUCGACGGGGACGUGGAAGCCGGAGUUGCAGGUCGAGGCGCCGCUGGCCUCGUUAAAAGCGGCAAAAACAGUAAUUGCCAACGAAGACAACUACGCCUACGCUUGCGCUGCCUAAGCAGUGCGGGCUACAUGGCUGAAAAUUCAGCCAGGUCGGCAUGGGGGACGCCCAAUAGCCUGUGUCGGCCACGAUUCAUUGGGCUGGCUUGAGCAUACGCUAACCGGUGUUUGAGCGAGGAUUCUACGGCUGGCUGGUUCUUGAGGCGCCUGAGCGUCGGCAACCUCAAGGACGAGAAUUAAAGACGUUCUAAACCUGUAGAUGCUUUGCGUGGAACUUUCUCGGACGGGAGUUCGACUCUCCCCGCCUCCACCA